AGAGUUCGAUUCUGGCUCAGAUUGAACGCUGGCGGCGUGCUUAACACAUGCAAGUCGAACGCGAAAGAGACUUCGGUCUCAAGUAGAGUGGCGCACGGGUGAGUAACGCGUGGAUAAUCUGCCCUCAUGACCGGGAUAACAGUUGGAAACGGCUGCUAAUACCGGAUACGCUCUGAAUGAACUUUUAGGGGAAAGACGGCCUCUGCUUGCAAGCUGUCGUAUGAGGAUGAGUCCGCGUCCCAUUAGCUUGUUGGCGGGGUAACGGCCCACCAAGGCAACGAUGGGUAGCCGAUCUGAGAGGAUGAUCGGCCACACUGGAACUGAAACACGGUCCAG
Molecule: ribosomal RNA, 336 nt
Filed under: uncultured bacterium
Lineage: Bacteria
Description: bacterial SSU rRNA
Rfam family: Bacterial small subunit ribosomal RNA
Source: RNAcentral